This 128-nucleotide small RNA is filed under the name Desulfosporosinus sp. RNAcentral's name for it is "c-di-AMP sequence". It matches the Rfam family "c-di-AMP riboswitch aptamer (ydaO/yuaA leader)". Rfam says of the family: This family represents a conserved RNA structure found upstream of the ydaO and yuaA genes in Bacillus subtilis and related genes in other bacteria. Lineage: Bacteria; Bacillati; Bacillota; Clostridia; Eubacteriales; Desulfitobacteriaceae. The record is from RNAcentral.
AUUUUUAUUUAGCUUAAUUUCUCAAAAGGAAAACGGGGGAACCAUUCUUGGGGUGAAUCGCCAAAAGCGUAGAGCAUGUUUCGGCUCGAACCCGACAGCUAACCUCGUAAGCUUCGAAACACGUUUAA